This is a long non-coding RNA of Thalassophryne amazonica, 630 nucleotides long. RefSeq lists it as uncharacterized. Lineage: Eukaryota; Metazoa; Chordata; Actinopteri; Batrachoidiformes; Batrachoididae. The record is from RefSeq and is a predicted model, not a curated record. The transcript has 2 exons.
UUCUCCAACCAGUAGAAUGUCAGAUAUGGUGCUGAUCAAUGAAGCCUUCCUUGAGGGUGCGCUUGCUGUGCUUCUUACAGCGGCCCUUAUGGGCGAGUACUGUCUAACCACAUUCAUCUAUUUCCGCCCCUAUGGCACGUUGCCAGAUUGUGUGGUUUCCCACCCAAUUGGGCAGUUUUGAAUUUUGUUUCAUGAAUUGCUACUUCAACUGGGCAGUUUUCGAUUUCUUAAAGUACAUUAGGAUUUAAAAGGGAUCUGGUUUCUUUCCUUAUUGAUGAAUGGAAUUGUCAGCGAGCAAAGCUACAAAAAUACUUAAUUGUCUUUGCCACCUUGUAAAAAUCUGUGUUGCCAGGUUUCCAGAUUUUUGUUUUUGUUUUGUUUUUUUGUUUGUUUUUUUGCUGAAAAUAGUCACUUUUGAAGUGUUGCAAAUUAUAUUGUUGCUUGUAUUUCUUUUGGGGGGGGGGGGGGGGGCUGAUGGACUGGAUUUGUUACAGAAACCUGGCACCUCUGUGUGGGGAAACAUAUUUUCACCACAUGUGCAUUUGUCCAGAUGCUGUCCUACACAGCUUUUCUUUGCAUCUUAGUUAUUUCUGGAAGGGGUUCUGCUUGGAGUUGCUGUAUUUUGUUGGU